Molecule: ribosomal RNA, 459 nt
Filed under: uncultured bacterium
Lineage: Bacteria
Description: partial 16S ribosomal RNA
Rfam family: Bacterial small subunit ribosomal RNA
Source: RNAcentral
CCUACGGGAGGCUGCAGUGAGGAAUAUUGGCCAAUGGCCGAGAGGCUGAACCAGCCAAGUCGCGUGAGGGAUGACGGCCCUCCGGGUUGUAAACCUCUUUUGUCGGGGCGCAAAGAGAGUCACGUAUGGCUCAUUGAGAGUACCCGAAGAAAAAGCAACGGCUAACUCCGUGCCAGCAGCCGCGGUAAUACGGGGGAUGCGAGCGUUAUCCGGAUUUAAUGGGGUAAACGGGUGCGUAGGCGGGCAUUUAAGCCGGCGGUAAAAUGUAGGGGCUCAACCCCGGCCUGCCGUCGGAACUGGGUGCCUUGAGUGGGCGAGAGGUAUGCGGAAUGCGUGGUGUAGCGGUGAAAUGCAGAGAUAUCACGCAGAACCCCGAUUGCGAAGGCAGCAUACCGGCGCCCUACUGACGCUGAGGCACGAAAGUGCGGGUAUCGAACAGGAUUAGAUACCCCUGUAGUC